RNAcentral lists this ribosomal RNA (131 nucleotides) under Jaculus jaculus (lesser Egyptian jerboa). Lineage: Eukaryota; Metazoa; Chordata; Mammalia; Rodentia; Dipodidae. The record is from RNAcentral.
UCUGGCCAUACUACCCUGAACAUUCCUGAUCUUGUCUGAUCUCAGAAGCUAAGCAGGGUCAGGCCUGGUUAGUACUUAAGAUGGUUGAAUUGUAGUUCAUCUUCCACUACAUACCAAGAUCAAGGCCAGAC